Molecule: ribosomal RNA, 746 nt
Filed under: cyanobacterium enrichment culture clone 3_10_3.1.6_F11-T7
Lineage: Bacteria; Bacillati; Cyanobacteriota
Description: bacterial SSU rRNA
Rfam family: Bacterial small subunit ribosomal RNA
Source: RNAcentral
AACGAAAUCUUUCGGGAUUUAGUGGCGGACGGGUGAGUAACGCGUGAGAAUCUGGCUUCAGGUUUGGGACAACCACUGGAAACGGUGGCUAAUACCGGAUGUGCCGCAAGGUGAAAGGCUUGCCGCCUGAAGAUGAGCUCGCGUCUGAUUAGCUAGUAGGUGGGGUAAAAGCCUACCUAGGCGACGAUCAGUAGCUGGUCUGAGAGGAUGAUCAGCCACACUGGGACUGAGACACGGCCCAGACUCCUACGGGAGGCAGCAGUGGGGAAUUUUCCGCAAUGGGCGAAAGCCUGACGGAGCAAUACCGCGUGAGGGAGGAAGGCUCUUGGGUUGUAAACCUCUUUUCUCAGGGAAGAAAAAAAUGACGGUACCUGAGGAAUAAGCAUCGGCUAACUCCGUGCCAGCAGCCGCGGUAAUACGGAGGAUGCAAGCGUUAUCCGGAAUGAUUGGGCGUAAAGCGUCCGCAGGUGGCUGUGUGUGUCUGCUGUUAAAGAGUCAUGCUUAACAUGAUAAAGGCAGUGGAAACUACACGGCUAGAGUGCGUUCGGGGCAGAGGGAAUUCCUGGUGUAGCGGUGAAAUGCGUAGAGAUCAGGAAGAACACCGGUGGCGAAAGCGCUCUGCUAGGCCGCAACUGACACUGAGGGACGAAAGCUAGGGGAGCGAAUGGGAUUAGAUACCCCAGUAGUCCUAGCCGUAAACGAUGGAUACUAGGCGUGGCUUGUAUCGACCCGAGCCGUGCCGAAGC